Molecule: long non-coding RNA, 537 nt
Organism: Hippoglossus stenolepis (Pacific halibut)
Lineage: Eukaryota; Metazoa; Chordata; Actinopteri; Pleuronectiformes; Pleuronectidae
Exons: 3
Source: RefSeq, a predicted model, not a curated record
CACCAGGGACCAAGAGCAAAACUCAUGGGAAGUUGCCCUGAAGCUUGAGACGCGUCACAGGACUCACUCGGACAUUUCACUAGGAGGCUGCAGGACAAGGUUGAGCUGUGGAAUCAAGGUCCUGCCGACGCAUGAGCUCGAUCAACGUUGGUCUUCUAACAUGACAACAGCUAAACAUGGGGGAAAAAGUCACAAUCUGAUCAAUCGUUAAAUAGGCCUGUGAAUUUUGGGAUUCAGUAUCUUGCCCAAGGACACUUGACAUGCGGAACAGGGAAGACUGGGAUCGAACCGUCGACCUCCUGGGCCACGUCCCACAACAAUGAUAUUACAACACGUCCUCCCAUAUGGUCUAGCGGUGAGGAUUCCUGGUUUCGCCCGGGUUUCGACUCCCGCUCGUCCAGAUCAUUUCAGGAACAUGUCUGGACCUCAGUGCAGGUGUGAAAGCAGCUUUGGAAACACUGCAGAUAAAUUAAACCCCCCCUCACGUUGAGCAGAAUAAAGAGGCAGCACAUGGAGCUCCACACAGAGGGCGACCGU